UACAGAGGUCUCAAGCGUUGUUCGGAUUCAUUGGGCGUAAAGGGCGCGUAGGUGGCGCGACAAGUCAGUGGUGAAAGCUCGGCGCUUAACGCCGAGUCGGCCGUGCGAACUGCUGGGCUGGAGCACUGUAGAGGCAGGCGGAAUUCCGGGUGUAGCGGUGGAAUGCGUAGAGAUCCGGAAGAACACCGGUGGCGAAGGCGGCCUGCUGGGCAGUGGCUGACACUGAGGCGCGACAGCGUGGGGAGCAAACAGG
RNAcentral lists this ribosomal RNA (253 nucleotides) under uncultured bacterium. RNAcentral's name for it is "partial 16S ribosomal RNA". It matches the Rfam family "Bacterial small subunit ribosomal RNA", at positions 524 to 776 of the family's 1533-position model. The record is from RNAcentral.